AGGACGAACGCUGGCGGCGUGCUUAACACAUGCAAGUCGAGCGGUAAGGCCUUUCGGGGUACACGAGCGGCGAACGGGUGAGUAACACGUGGGUGAUCUGCCCUGCACUCUGGGAUAAGCUUGGGAAACUGGGUCUAAUACCGGAUAUGACCACAGUGCGCAUGUGUUGUGGUGGAAAGAUUUAUCGGUGCAGGAUGGGCCCGCGGCCUAUCAGCUUGUUGGUGGGGUAAUGGCCUACCAAGGCGACGACGGGUA
This 255-nucleotide ribosomal RNA is filed under the name uncultured soil bacterium. RNAcentral describes it as "partial 16S ribosomal RNA". It matches the Rfam family "Bacterial small subunit ribosomal RNA", at positions 26 to 285 of the family's 1533-position model. The record is from RNAcentral.